This is a long non-coding RNA of Drosophila willistoni, 770 nucleotides long. RefSeq lists it as uncharacterized. The record is from RefSeq and is a predicted model, not a curated record. Lineage: Eukaryota; Metazoa; Arthropoda; Insecta; Diptera; Drosophilidae. The transcript has 3 exons.
GCAGAUGUUAUUGACUAAAUCAAAUCGUGUAUCAUUAAAUAAAACUUAAUUAAGUACAUAUUUUAUGAAAGGCUAAAAUAGAAACUGAUCUCAGCCCGAAUGUCACCUCCGCCGUACCAGGAUGUCAAUAAGGCAUAGUCUCCUUCAGGAAAUGAUCGUGCUGUAAAUGUCGAAUGUUUUUAACAAUAUUUGAAUCUUAAAUAGUAAUGUACUCACAUUAAAUGGGCAGGUGUGAUUCAUAUUUGAAUUGUUUUCAAAAAUCUUAUACAAAAAAUUAACAAUAGGAUACCCCUUUUUGGACAACAGAAAUUUACAAGCAUCAAUGGUUAUAUUAUAAAGAAAAGGUUUAUAGCCAUUCGCAUUUUUUAAAAGCGAAAUGUUAACCUAAGAAUUAGCAAAUAUAUUUUAGACCUGUGUUACUUAAGAUUCAAUAUAGAUUAAAAUGGAACCCACCUUGAUCUUUGUAAUCGGAAGUUUGUACAUAUUGGCCUUGAGGGAAAAGUACUUAUAGGUGCGAUUCACUGAUUUGAUAUAACAAUAUUCAAAUUCCAUAUAUGGCUUGUCCAGCGAUGUGCAUUUCAAGUUUUUAAUAUCAGCAUACGAAUCGACCUGUAAGAAGGUAAAUUAACUAAAAAAAAUGUUUUAUUUAUUUUUAAUACUAACUAAACCUGAAUAACUACGAAUUGAUAUAAAAUGAACCCAGCCAACCAGGAAUAUUUAAACCACAUUUUAACUGUUGUGCUGCUCAAAACAGACUGAUUAAAAUUGAC